This 3593-nucleotide long non-coding RNA is filed under the name Camelus dromedarius (Arabian camel). Its description in RNAcentral is "lncRNA (ENSCDRG00005013112.1)". The record is from RNAcentral. Lineage: Eukaryota; Metazoa; Chordata; Mammalia; Artiodactyla; Camelidae.
GAGCCGCGGCCGCAGCGGCAUCGCGGCCUGGGGACGCCCGCUCCGCUGGACACGGCGUCCCCGAGAGCGCCCGCCACGCGCGGACCUGCUUCCCGGGGUCCGGGGCUGCCCCGGGGCGUCCGGCGUUCCCCGAGGCGGGCGUGUCCGCGCGGCGCCCGGUGGGGGACGACCGCGGGCCGUAGCCUGUUGGAGCGCGCGGGGCGCCGGGCCGGGGGCUCGGGGUGCCCCGCGGGGGACCGCGCAGCCGGGCUCCCGGUGCGGAGCAGUUUUCGCGAACUCUCCGCCUCCGUCUCACUGGGGCCCACCGCCGCCGGGAGACCCCCGUCCGGACCUGCCAAGAAAGGAGUGUCAUGAAAAAGGAACAGAAAAGAGACGUCCCUGUUGCUGAAAGGGGAAUUUUCUUUCCCAGUUGGUGGUACUUCAUGAUUGGAAGAGAAGUACCUAGGUGGCUGAAGAGAUUAGAUUCUCAUAGUUGUUACAGAUGAAGCUGAUAAAAAGAAGAUGGGAAAAUGCUUUCUCUGGGUCAUAAUAGGCUGAUGAAUUACAACCCAGGAGCAAAUUCCAGAGCCUCCGGCCAGAAACUCAGCCUUCCAGCGAGGAGUGCAGGAGAGCACGCACCUCUGCGCUGGGACCAAGUGCCACAGACCUACGACAGUAAGGUUCAUGCCGCUGAGGAGAGGAACUCCCUUCCUGUGACAGUUUGCUUUGGAUGUUGCUGUCCACACCCUUGCUAAGGUUCGCUGUAUGCAGAUUAGAAGACGCUAUUUUGUGGAUCCUUGCACAUGCCAGCUCUGCUGCCCCCCCACCCCCAGCCCGUAUCAAGCCGUAGGUAUUACGGAUACGCAGGACAGGCUGCACCGACCUGCUGACACUGAAGGGCUGUGCCGACCCUAUCAGAGGCCCUCCUCUAGGACAGUGUAAGUUUCUGUGGCCAGAGCUGGGACAUGGGAGCCAGAAUUCCUAGACUCAAACUCACCACAACAUGGUAUACAUCUGACUCCAUUACCACAUGCUCCUGCCCCCACCAGCGAUCCCAGAGGUAAAGUCUAUUCUGGACUUUGUGUUCACCAUUCCCUUGCUUUUCAUUAUCGCUCCACCACAUAUGUCUCCAUCCUUACCAACAUAUUGUAUAGUUUUGCAUGCUUUUUUAUACUUUAUGUAAACAGUAACAUACUGCAUAUAUUCUUGUGCAGCUUGCUUUUCUUCGCUGAACAUUAUGUCUAAUGCAUGUUGAUGUCUGGAGCUCACUUAUUUUCAACGUGGCAGUGUUCCAUUAUAGGAAUAUGCUAGUAUCUGAAAUACCAUACUUUAUCUUUUAUCUUGUUGGAUUUUGGGAAUGUGUUUAAUUUUUGCAAAUUCAAACAUUAUAUAUAAAACUAUUGAAGUAUGUUGCAUAAUGCACACAUACAAGAAUGCUGCCACCGUGUUUUGAUUGUACCCAGGACCUCCCCACCCAGCUUCACUUUAGCCCAGUAUAUAGACUAAGGGCUCAAAGCACAUCCUCAACUGUUUGUGAUACCAAAUUAUUAUUUUUACAGAUUGUACAAACUGACACUCUAGCCAUUACAGAAAAGUUUUUGCUGCUCCAGAAUUUCCCUGCACUUGACAUUUCCAUACUUUGAAGUAUUUUCCUGUCUGGUGGGAUGAAAGACAGUUAGGUUUUUCCUUCUUUUUUUUUUUUCCCCCGCAGUCCUCUGAUUAUUAAUGACACAGAGGGCACGCACACACACACAGUAGUCCUUAUUUUUUCCAUUUGUGUUUCUUCUUUUGUGAAAUGAAAUCCAUCUUCAUGCCUUUUAUCCAUUUUUCCAUUGCAUUCAUUUUUUCUCACUGAUUCACUAAAGUUUACAAUAUAUUAAUACUACUAAUACUUUGAUUAUAUUCACUGUAAAUAACUUCUUGGCUUAUAUUUUCAUGAUAUUUGUACUGUGACUUUUGUGAUGUAUUUUGAUACAUAGGUGUUCUCAAUUUGAAUGUAAACAAGUAUGUGUUUGUCUUUAUUGUUUAUGCUGGGUUUUUUGCAUCUUAUUAAAGAAUUGUUCUUAAGUUCUUGGCACUGAAAAUGUUCUCCAUUUUCUUCAAAGCAUUUAAAUUUUCUUAUCAUUAUCUAUUGCUGCAAAACAAUAUUACCAGAAACGUAACAGCUCAGAACAGCACAUGUUUAUUAUCUCACGAUUUCUGAGGGUCAGGAAUCCAGGUGUAGCUGACCUGGGCCUGACCUCUGGUCGGGGUCUUGUAUGCGGCUGCAAGGAAGUCCUGGCCAGGACAAGGACAUGAACACCAGGAGAUGGAUUAACUAGGGGUUAUUUUAGAGUCUACCUGCCACAGAUUUUUUGUCUUUUACAUUUAAAUAUUUAAUCUGCUUACAUUAAUUGUGUGUAUUCUGAGUUUUCUUUCCUGUAUGAAUAACCUGUUGUCCUAGAUUGAACAGAUUCAGUAACCUUUUCUUUUCCAUUAACCGUCACUGCCAUCUCUACCACCUAUCAGGUCCUUACAUUUGGUGUGAGCUGAUUUCUGAGCUUUCUACUGUAUUUCGCUGGCAAAUUUCAUUACCCAGUGACAAUAUCCCAGUCUUAAUUACUGUAGCUUUUUGUUAGCCUUGAAAUCUGGCAAGUCUUUUUACUUUCUUUUUCCUCAUUUCUUAAGCCUUUGUUCUUCCUCAUGCAUUUUAGAAUUAGUUUGCAUAGCUCCUCAAAACAAACAAAGAACAACACGUGUUAACUGUAAAUGCAUUACAUCAGUUUUGGGAGAAUCCACCUCCUUACAUUAAUUAAACCCCAUUCAUAAGCAUGGUAUGUCUCUCCUUUCAUAUAACCUUUGUUAAUCCUUUGAUAGAUUUAUGUAUGAGCACUUUAUAUAUUGCUAUUACAGUGGAUAUUUAUUCUUAAUUAUAUGUUCUGAUACUAGUAUAUAGAAAAUAUAGUUGAUUUUUGUGUAUUUAUAUUGUAUCAGGGAACUUAUAAAGUCCUCUUACUAGUUUAGUAAUUUACCUGUAAAUUCUUUCAAAAUACUUACACAGAUAGUUUUGUAAUUUGUAAUUAAUGAGAAUAUAUUUCCUUCCUUUUAAUCUUACAACUUUUUAAUGUUCUUACUGGACUUGUUAGGGCUCCCUGCAGAAUACUGAAUGGGUUUGUUAAUGUGAAUGUUCUUGCACUGUUUCUAAUGUGAACGGAGUGCGUCUGCAUUUCACCACAGAGCAAAUGAAUGGAUGCUGUGUGUAUUUCAUAGAUUCACUUUAUCAGGAUGUGGUGUUCCUUUCUACUCCCAGUUGAUAAGUGACUUUUUAUCAUCAAUGCAUGAUGAGAUUUAUUCAAUGCUUUUGCUGCAUUUAUUGUGAUAACCAUAUGUUUCUUUGCCUUUAUCUGUUAACGUAGUGUAUUAUGUGAAAAUAUAUUUUUUUCCUUUGAGAUUAAACCAAACUUGGCUUGCCAUAAUAAAACCAGCCUGGGAAUGAUUCAUUAUACUUGUAUUUGUUGCUGGAUUGAGUUUGUUAAUAAUUAAGAUAUUUAUAUCAACAUUUCUGAUUGUGGUUUUCUCAAAACAUACUUGUCUAAUUUUGAAGUUAACAUACUUGUCGUACAAAAUAAGCUGAG